AGAGUUUGAUCAUGGCUCAGGAUGAACGCUAGCGGCAGGCCUAAUACAUGCAAGUCGGACGGGAUUGAAGAGCUUGCUCUUCAUGAGAGUGGCGCACGGGUGCGUAACACGUAUGUAACCUACCCAUAUCAGGGGGAUAGCCUCUCGAAAGAGAGAUUAAGCCCGCAUAACAUUACGGAAUAGCAUUAUUUUGUAAUCAAAUAUUUAUAGGAUAUGGAUGGGCAUGCGGAACAUUAGCUAGUUGGUAAGGUAACGGCUUACCAAGGCUACGAUGUUUAGGGGAUCUGAGAGGAUGACCCCCCACACUGGUACUGAGGCACGGACCAGACUCCUACGGGAGGCAGCAGUAAGGAAUAUUGGUCAAUGGGCGCAAGCCUGAACCAGCCAUGCCGCGUGCAGGAAGACGGCCCUACGGGUUGUAAACUGCUUUUAUACGGGAAUAAACCUAUCUACGUGUAGAUAGUUGAAUGUACUGUAAGAAUAAGGAUCGGCUAACUCCGUGCCAGCAGCCGCGGUAAUACGGAGGAUCCAAGCGUUAUCCGGAUUUAUUGGGUUUAAAGGGUGCGUAGGCGGCCUAUUAAGUCAGGGGUGAAAGACGGUAGCUUAACUAUCGCAGUGCCUUUUGAUACUGAUAGGCUUGAAUGUACUUGAGGUAGGCGGAAUGUGACAAGUAGCGGUGAAAUGCAUAGAUAUGUCACAGAACACCAAUUGCGAAGGCAGCUUACUAAAGUAUGAUUGACGCUGAGGCACGAAAGCGUGGGGAUCAAACAGGAUUAGAUACCCUAGUAGUCC
RNAcentral lists this ribosomal RNA (792 nucleotides) under uncultured bacterium. RNAcentral's name for it is "bacterial SSU rRNA". It matches the Rfam family "Bacterial small subunit ribosomal RNA", at positions 8 to 796 of the family's 1533-position model. The record is from RNAcentral.